Molecule: ribosomal RNA, 407 nt
Filed under: uncultured bacterium
Lineage: Bacteria
Description: partial 16S ribosomal RNA
Rfam family: Bacterial small subunit ribosomal RNA
Source: RNAcentral
GACGAACGCUGGCGGCGUGCCUAAUACAUGCAAGUAGGACGCAGUUGCGAACGGGUGAGUAACGCGUAGGUAACUGCCUCUUAGAGGGGGAUAACUAUUGGAAACGAUAGCUAAUACCGCAUACUAGUAGAUGGACCUGCGUUGUAUUAGCUAGUAGGUAGGGUAAUGGCCUACCUAGGCGACUAUAAAUAGCCGACCCGGGAGGUGGAGCGGCCACAAUUGUACGGAGACACGGCCCAGACUCCUACGGGAGGCAGCAGUAGGGAAGCUUCGGCAAUGGGGGGAACCCUGACCGAGCAACGCCGCGUGAGUGAAGAAGGUUUUCGGAUCGUAAAGCUCUGGUGUUAAGGAAGCGGUACUUAACCAGAAAGGGACGGCUAACUACGUGCCAGCAGCCGCGGUAAUUC